This 74-nucleotide transfer RNA is filed under the name Candidatus Nomurabacteria bacterium RIFCSPLOWO2_02_FULL_40_10. RNAcentral describes it as "tRNA-Lys". It matches the Rfam family "tRNA". From Rfam's summary of the family: Transfer RNA (tRNA) molecules are approximately 80 nucleotides in length. Lineage: Bacteria; Candidatus Nomuraibacteriota. The record is from RNAcentral.
CCCCCCAUAGCUUAGUGGUAAAGCAGUUGCCUUUUAAGCAAUUGAUCUAGGUUCGAUUCCUAGUGGGGGGACCA